GAAUCGAGUCCAGCGACCUCCCCCUGUUAGCUGCAGUGGCCAGUACUCACUCCCCGUACGUGGCCCAGAUCCUGCUAUGAGACCGUACGAGCAGCUCCUGGACCAGUCGGACCUGAGCGGCGUCACUGUGGCCUCAAAACCGGCCGUCCAAACCUCCCAGAAGACCCCUGACAUGGUGUUCCUGACCUGUGUGCCUGGCCUAGCGCGGGAUCUUUGCCCUGAGCAGCACGUCUUCACGGACCACAGACGACACUUCAAACCAGUGCUGCUGAAUGUGGAGCAGUGCUGCUGUUGCACCACAGGGUGGCGUUAGAGACCACAGACCGAGAGACGGAGUGAGGCUCUGCGGAUGACUGAAGCGUCCCUGAAACGACCUUCUCCUGUUGUUUGAAUGUUUCUUUUAAAACGAGACUCCUUUAUUUUUGGACGCAAAAGCCAAAGACUUUGUUAAUUUUUCCAGCUGAGAAUGACAUUUUAAGAUACCUACAGUAUAAUAACAUUGGAUUUUAUUUCUUCGACUGCUUUUAUUUUUUUUUCUUUCUGUACAAUCUUAAACCCAGUCGUACAAAGUGAUGGGUGUUUAGAGGAGAUGGAUGGACAUUUUUAGACUUUAUUUUGAGGUAAAUAUCACCGAGAAAGUUAUCAAUCUCAUGCCAAUUAUGUCAUUGUGUUUAUCUCCAUGUUUUUGUUUACAAGCCAAAUUUCCCUGAAAUAUCUCAACAGAAUCCCACAGAUUUCUUUUGUUUGACUGCACCUGACUUUAAAGGCAGUUUUUUAAUUGAAUAAUUGAUGCUCACCUUGAUUUUUAGUUCUACAAACUGGUUUUGAAUUAGCUAAAAGUGGCUUUGACAUUCUUAUCACAGGUACAGCACUACCUCAGAUCUGUGUAUGGGCAGUAAAUUAACACACACAUUUACAGCUGCCCCAUAGAAAAACCCUGAGGUAAACUUUUUAAGAUAUUUUAAUCAGAGGAAUGUCAACUGUGCAGACUCGAUGCUGUGUUCUUUGAAAAAGGGAAGGCUGUUUUAAUUCCUUCGGAUGAUCGUUACACACAAAAAACGGAAGGAAAAACGUAUUUUUUGAAUGUGAUUAAGAAGGGGUCCCUUUAUACUGUGGAAAAGCUAAAAAAAACAACACACAUUAUCUAUUUUACAACCAAAAUGCUGAAAUAUUUUCACACUUUUAUAGCGCUGCCACCUUUGUACGAUGUUUACGGCUUUGUUGUUUGCUGCAAGAGUAGAGGAACACAGUAGGCCUUAUAGUGGAUAUGUAUGUAUCGGCUAACACUAUUUUCAAGCUCGUUUUUAUGAUGGUUAAUACUCACAAAAACGCAAAAUACAGAAGGCAUACUUGGACAUGUCUUUUUUUUUUGGUUUAGUUUUAUUGACAGAUUUUGGUUGCUACACCGUAUAAGCAGGGUGUGAUUUGCUGAAAACUGCGACAUUAUUUGCAUUAUUAAAUCAUCAGUUGACAGCAUUGGGAAUUAAAUAAGGAAGUCUCACACUGUCUGAAUAGGACAAGCAAUCAGAUAUAUGCUCACAGACAGCAAUUUUUUACUAGAAUAAUUUGACAAAUGCUAAGUUUUUGGAACUCUUAGAUGUGGCUCGGGCUUGUUUUUGGCUUUUAGGAUCUAUUCAACUGACAACUGGACAUCGUUUGCGUCUUUCAGCUCAAAUCGCACCCUGAAUAUAACAAGUCUUAAUGGAGAAGUGGCAGGCUUCCUGAGAGCUCAUUUUUUGCUGUUAAAAAUCGAUAUAUACAUGCUUGUUGCUGUUUUGAAAAUGCACCGCUGUUAUCAACCUACGUUUUGUACAAGCCAGCCAUUAUGUUUAAAAAGGUAUGACUUUAUAUCCGCUUCUCCCUCUUUGUAUAUGAAUAAAUUAUUUAGUUGCCCACGGUUAAGCGUAACGGUUCGCGUAAACUGUACAUACUCGAGUUUUAUUUCCAUGUAUUUGUACAGAAUGUCUUUUAAGAAUUGUCUCCUCAGAUUAUUUUUUCCCAAUUUUAUGGGAAUGUUGUGCAAUAAAGAUGCUGAUGUUGAGAGA
Molecule: long non-coding RNA, 2045 nt
Organism: Amphiprion ocellaris (clown anemonefish)
Lineage: Eukaryota; Metazoa; Chordata; Actinopteri; Pomacentridae
Source: Ensembl